UGCCAGCCGCCGCGGUAAUACGGAGGGUGCAAGCGUUAUCCGGAUUUAUUGGGUUUAAAGGGUGCGCAGGCGGGGCGAUCAGUCAGUGGUGAAAGCCCACAGCUUAACUGUGGAAUUGCCAUUGAUACUGUCGCUCUUGAAUAUAGUUGAAGUGAACGGAAUGUAACAUGUAGCGGUGAAAUGCAUAGAUAUGUUACAGAACACCGAUUGCGAAGGCAGUUCACUAAGCUAUUAUUGACGCUCAGGCACGAAAGCGUGGGGAUCAAACAGGAUUAGAUA
Molecule: ribosomal RNA, 279 nt
Filed under: uncultured bacterium
Lineage: Bacteria
Description: partial 16S ribosomal RNA
Rfam family: Bacterial small subunit ribosomal RNA
Source: RNAcentral